RNAcentral lists this ribosomal RNA (408 nucleotides) under uncultured bacterium. Its description in RNAcentral is "partial 16S ribosomal RNA". It matches the Rfam family "Bacterial small subunit ribosomal RNA", at positions 29 to 526 of the family's 1533-position model. The record is from RNAcentral.
AGUGAACGCUGGCGGCGUGCCUAAUACAUGCAAGUCGAACGGAGUGGCGCACGGGUGAGUAAUAUAUAGCUAAUCUGCCCCUUGCUGGAGGACAACAGUUAGAAUUGAUUCCUAUUAUCCCAAAGCAAGGGAGGGGAUGAUAUCGAAUCAGCUAGUCGGUGGGGUAACGCCCUACCGAGGCUAGGACGGGUAACUGGUCUGAGAGGAUGAUCAGUCACAUUGGAACUGAGACACGGUCCAAACUCCUACGGGAGACAGCAGUAGGGAAUAAUGCGCAAUGGGGGAAACCCUGACGGAGCAACGGCGCGUGGAGGAUGACACUUUUCGGAGCGUAAACUCCUUUUGUUAGGGAAGCGGUACCUAACGAAUAAGCACCGGCUAACUCCGUGCCAGCAGCCGCGGUAAUAC